Molecule: long non-coding RNA, 504 nt
Organism: Vespa mandarinia (Asian giant hornet)
Lineage: Eukaryota; Metazoa; Arthropoda; Insecta; Hymenoptera; Vespidae
Source: RefSeq, a predicted model, not a curated record
GGGGGAGGAUCAAUAUAUUCAACAGCAUCGACACUACGUCAAGUCAGUAUCUCGAACAACGGCGGAGACGUUCUGAAUACGUAUAAAAAUUUCGAUUAAAUUUAAAAGACAAUAAAUACAUCGACAAGAUGCCGGGACCAUGCUGUGAGAAAUGCAAAGAGAAAUGCCAGGACUGCAAAUGCGGCAAUAAUUGUCAAUGCUGUGAGACAAGUACCGGAGAGAAAUGUUGCUGUUGCAAGACAAACGGCAAAUGCGUUUGCACGCCCUGCAAAUGUUAAUUACAAUCUAACGUAAUGCCUAGUAACUGCAGGACGGAUAUGAUGGAUGAAAAUCGGAAAACGAAACAAUUGAACGAAUGUCGAUAACAAUUAAUUUUGUUAAUAUAUAUUCAUCUGCAGCUUACACAUAUAUAUAAAUUAGAUAUCGUAAUAGUCAUUCAUUUACAAUGAUUAUAUUACUGUUACUUUUCGAUUUGCUGGUACAUUAUAUUGUAUUUAAACAUUU